GUAACACCUUCGUUAUUGGUACACAUAAGCCUUCUGUAGAAGUUUUAUCAUUUACUUCCGAUAAGGGCCUGAGUGUUCUUGCUGUAGGGUCUAUAACCUUAACAAACACUCUUGGGACAACUGUAAGUGGCUGCAUCCCUCAAGACAUAAGACUUGUACUCGUCGAUCGGCUGUAUGUUCUUUCAGGAUUGAGGAAUGGUAUGCUACUCAGAUUUGAGUGGCCUUCUAUCUCGGCAAUUUACUCACUAGUCUCACCUGGCCUUCAGACUUUUGACAAUUCUUGUAUGGCUAAUUGCAUUAGUUCCUCAACUUCUGCAUCUCAGAAUUUUAGAAGUCAACCUACACAAGUGACCAGUUUAUUGGAUAAGACGAAGGAUUUUCCUGUUUAUCUGCAGUUAGUUGCAGUUCGUCGGAUUGGCAUCACUCCUGUUUUUCUGAUUCCAUUAAAUGAUUCUCUUGAUGCUGAUGUGAUCGCUCUAAGUGAUAGGCCCUGGCUAU
This 498-nucleotide unclassified non-coding RNA is filed under the name Hevea brasiliensis (rubber tree). The record is from RNAcentral. Lineage: Eukaryota; Viridiplantae; Streptophyta; Magnoliopsida; Malpighiales; Euphorbiaceae.